RNAcentral lists this unclassified non-coding RNA (300 nucleotides) under uncultured fungus. Its description in RNAcentral is "sequence contains 5.8S rRNA gene, ITS2". The stretch from base 1 to 71 matches the Rfam family "5.8S ribosomal RNA", at positions 84 to 154 of the family's 154-position model. Lineage: Eukaryota; Fungi. The record is from RNAcentral.
GUGAAUCAUCGAAUCUUUGAACGCAACUUGCGCUCCCUGGCAUUCCGGGGAGCAUGCCUGUUUCAGUAUCAGUUCAUGAUAAAAUCUUUUAUGAAUGAUCAUUUAUGAUCAUUCGUAUAAAUUUGUUAUUGAGUGUCUUUUUCUUACCAAAAAGUCAUUUAAAAGUCAUAAAAACGUUACUGGUGUAAUAUCAUAUAUCACCUCGAUCGUUAUAAAUAUAAAUAAAAUUCUUACGAAUUUUAUUUACAUCAUGAUCUGAAAUCAGGCAAGAUUACCCGCUGAACUUAAGCAUAUCAAUAA